RNAcentral lists this transfer RNA (73 nucleotides) under Thermoproteota archaeon. RNAcentral describes it as "Crenarchaeota archaeon tRNA-Val". It matches the Rfam family "tRNA". From Rfam's summary of the family: Transfer RNA (tRNA) molecules are approximately 80 nucleotides in length. The record is from RNAcentral. Lineage: Archaea; Thermoproteati; Thermoproteota.
GGACCGGUUGUCUAGUGGCUAGGAUGACGCACUCACACCGCAAAGGUCAUGGGUUCAAAUCCCAUCCGGUCCA